GAUGAACGCUGGCGGCGUGCCUAAUACAUGCAAGUAGAACGCUGAAGGAAGGAGCUUGCUCUUUCCGGAUGAGUUGCGAACGGGUGAGUAACGCGUAGGUAACCUGCCUGGUAGCGGGGGAUAACUAUUGGAAACGAUAGCUAAUACCGCAUAACAGUAGAUGUUGCAUGAUAUCUACUUAAAAGGUGCAAUUGCACCACUACCAGAUGGACCUGCGUUGCAUUAGCUAGUUGGUGAGGUAACGGCUCACCAAGGCGACGAUACAUAGCCGACCUGAGAGGGUGAUCGGCCACACUGGGACCGAGACACGGCCCAGACUCCUACGGGAGGCAGCAGUAGGGAAUCUUCGGCAAUGGACGGAAGUCUGACCGAGCAACGCCGCGUGAGUGAAGAAGGUUUUCGGAUCGUAAAGCUCUGUUGUAAGAGAAGAACGAGUGUGAGAGUGGAAAGUUCACACUGUGACGGUAUCUUACCAGAAAGGGACGGCUAACUACGUG
RNAcentral lists this ribosomal RNA (497 nucleotides) under uncultured bacterium. Its description in RNAcentral is "partial 16S ribosomal RNA". It matches the Rfam family "Bacterial small subunit ribosomal RNA", at positions 28 to 507 of the family's 1533-position model. The record is from RNAcentral.